AUGCUAUGCUGUGGGCAUGCUGCAAUGUAUUCCUAAAGGCGUUUCCAGGCUUCUGGGACUGUCUCAUGCUGGAGUUGUUCAAAACAAGAAAUCUUGUUCCGAAGGGU
Panicum virgatum (switchgrass) is the source of this 107-nucleotide small nucleolar RNA. Lineage: Eukaryota; Viridiplantae; Streptophyta; Magnoliopsida; Poales; Poaceae. The record is from RefSeq and is a predicted model, not a curated record.